Molecule: transfer RNA, 69 nt
Filed under: Stenopsyche angustata
Lineage: Eukaryota; Metazoa; Arthropoda; Insecta; Trichoptera; Stenopsychidae
Description: tRNA-Tyr
Rfam family: tRNA
About the family: Transfer RNA (tRNA) molecules are approximately 80 nucleotides in length. Their secondary structure includes four short double-helical elements and three loops (D, anti-codon, and T loops).
Source: RNAcentral
AGUAAAAUAGCUUAAUUAAUAAAGUGAUAAAUUGUAAAUUUAUAGAUAAAUAUUUAUAUUUUUUUACUA